Molecule: long non-coding RNA, 5120 nt
Filed under: Prunus persica (peach)
Lineage: Eukaryota; Viridiplantae; Streptophyta; Magnoliopsida; Rosales; Rosaceae
Description: long non-coding RNA (PPER_LNC005668)
Source: RNAcentral
GACAAGAACGUUCAUCCACUCUUUUUUAAUACAAUCAAUGAAUCUUUACAAUAACAUGGGUCCAUAGAUUAAUUUGUGAAGGAAAGUAUAGAAUAAGGUCUUUUUGCUUUCUUAUUGCCUUCCUUGGGAUCAAGUUCUUUUUUUUUUUAAAUCUUUCUGUGCAAGUUCUAUAUUUAAUUGGUUUAUUGUAAACAGAGAAAAAAUCUCUGCAAAAAAAAACUUAUAUAUAAUAGAGGUAACAUUGUUUUGUUAUUUUAAGUCAAUAACACAAUGACACGUUGAAAAGUUACAUAAGAGUUUCUAUCUUGGCUGGGGGGUUAAUUUUUAUUUUUGGGAAUUAAUUAUAAAAAAGGUUUUUCUUUUUCCUGUGUUUGGUAAAAAAAUGCAAAGGAUACUUAAUGAUUCUCAGCAUAUAUGAUCGGGCUCUAGAAGAAGCAAUCUCCUCGUCCACCAAGCAUCUGGUACUUGCUUUUGUUGAAGAAUCACAUGACUUAUGAUGUCCAAGCCAAAGCAAAGAAUAGGCUCAACCGCUAUUUUUAAUGGCUUCUUUCUUUUUCUUUUCCUGUUUAUAGUGUAGAAGCAUUAGUUUGCUUAUGGAACUUAAUUACUUCAAAUUCACUUAAACAAAGACAUUGGCAUAAUAAUCGUGUUUUAGUGGAGCCAUCAACAUGAUGACAUUGUUAUCCAUUUGCACAACUAAACAAAUCGUGUAGUUGAAUCUCAAUUUGAGCCGUAGUUGUACAUUAGGCUAAGGUAGUGUGUUCGUCCAUUUACACAUGGAUUAAAAUAUCUGAAUAAACUAGAGUAAUUUAUAAUAUCGCUUUAUUUAAAUUAAAAAAAUUUCAAUUUAGAGUCGAUUGGGCUGUCUAUAUUUGAAACAAGGAAGAAGUUGUUGCUAUUCUUUUCUUAUAUCUGUAAUUUAUUUAUUCAGCUACCAAACACAUGCUUGUAUCCAAUCCAAAUUUGCUCUUGAUGUUGGUGUUCAUGUGGGUUUCUCUGCAUCGUUUCUCUAGAAAUGAGAGCAAGGGUGGUGUUACUGCAUCGUUUUCGGGAAAGCAAGUGAUAUUGCACUCAAAAAAUUGCUUGACAAUGCUCCUCAACAGUGUAUCUGUACACCCUUCAAAAAAGAAUAGUGUACUCUGUACGUGUUUGUUUUAUUAUUUAACAUUGUGUACUUUUAUUUUUUAAUUUGACCCACUAAAAAAAAAAACACUUCGAAUGUACAAGAUGAUUAGCUAAAUGCACUAUUAGUGUCUAAUAGCACAACUAACACCAAUAAAUAUGGUUAUUAGCUAAUGUCCGUGAAUUUGUAGUGACCGUAAGGAAAAAGCAUAAUUUCAUAUGAAUUUGAGUCAACAAUAGUAAUAAAGAAAUAUAAAUAAAGAUCUUUGACUAUGUCAUGAGUAAUAAUAAUUCACAUGUAUUAAGGGAAGAACACUCAUCUUAUUUAAGUACCAAAAAAUUCGAUGACUAAUUGGAUAACACAAUUAUACACAAACCUAAGAGCAACAGUUUCCAGAGUUUCACACCCGAAACCCUACUGUAUAUAUAGAACAUAGGUCAAAGAACGAGGCUGAAACCCUACUCCAAAUCUCAGCAUCAAAACGCGGAUUAGUUAAACAAUUUAUUUUGUUUAAGGAUUAAUUCUUUGAGUUUGAAUGGCUACUUCCUCUCCGUUCCCACCCACCCACCUAUCAUCAAGCAAAGACAGACUGGUUUUUUAUUUUGUUGAAUGAAUUUUCUACUUCAGGCUUCAUACUUUCACUUUUCACGAUCUUGUCGGCACCAGAGCUUUAUAAUUGCCUCAAUGAAAACUAUAUACUCAUAGCAAGGACAAGGAGGGCCACACAUAUUAUAUUUUGAGGCUUGUAUAAGUUUUUGGAAUGAAAGCGAGGCAUUUCUGUCAAAUUAAAGAGCUAUAUAAUAUCUCAUAUAAUAAAUAUUUGGGUUUUUUUUUUCUUUCUCUUUCUGUUGCUCUUUCAUUUUCAUUUUGAUGUUGAUUGUUUUUUUUGGAUCAGAAUCUCAGGUUAACAUGGACCGUACAAGUGUAGUGUUGCUUGUAGGAGGCAAGAUGUCGGUAAUCCUAUUUUAUUAAGGUAAUAGAGCAGAUAAUAUUGAUCUAUCCAAGGUUUGGUAGGAGCAUCCUUAGUUGGUUUAAAUUAUUAAUAAAUAAAUAAAGAUGAUUGGGCGUCAAUGCGCAGUGAGCACAGUUAAUUACCAACAAUGUCACAUGAUUAUAGUAAAGCGUACUUAUAAUGUUCUUAAUUAUGGGGACAGUCUCAUGGUAAUUGGCAAGGGCUCACAGUUAACCAAAAACCUGAAAAGUACUAGUACAAGCUUGUUUUGAGAGCAUUAUCUCCUGACCUCUUCGACUUUUUCCUAAACGAUGAAAAAAUGAAGUUGACAGAGUUUGUAAUUUGGUCAUGUUUAAAAGCGUUGAAUUUCAUAUUGAUGAAAUUGAAACCCUAUAACCCAUUUCGAUAAUGAUACUGACUUGCAGGGAGUAAAAUGUAGGGAAUCCUAAUUUCAACAUAGACUCCCUCUCAUAAAAGCAAUCCAUUUGAAAUUGGGCUACCAUCACUUUUGGUUAUAUGCCCCUUAUGCUUUUGAGAUUGCUUAUUCUCCCAACAAUAUGAAUAUACCCCAUGCAAAACCAAAAGCAAAUUCCCACAUAAGUUAACCAAUUGUUGAAAGCAAUUCCCUCUUAUCUCAUUUUAGUAUACUAAGUGCCAACACCUAACUCCUCCUUUCCUUCGAAGUUGGAUAUUUUUAGCCAAAAGCCAUCACUAGAAUUAAGGAUCGAAUGAUGCAUGCCUAGUGGUGGAGCAUCUGUCUACCGAUGACCACGAGAAAACAGUCAUGUUUUUUGUCUAUCAUCCACUUAAAUAUUAAAAUACAAUUCGUAAUUAUCUGAAUUUGAAAAUAAAUAUCCCAUUAUUGGUCAUCACCAUUGAAGCUUCCUUCAAUUUUGAAAGGGACUUGCAAAGAGAAUUUAUAAGGUCAGAAGGGUACGUGUACAUUGGUUGUUAUUUGGUAGCCAACUUGGAUGAAGAUAUUUAUUUAGCCGCAAAUCAGGAUUUUUUAACUUAAUUAAUUAUAUUUUUAGAUGACAUUUCUUUUUUUGGGUGGGUGGAAGAAGGACAUUUCGAGAAGUCUCUAAUGCUUUCGUCUUUCUUUCCUCACCAGAAGGCCCAAAGCCUUUCCCACUUGCAUUGCACGACAGCAAAUCGGAUUGCUCCCAAAUUUAGCUAAGCUUUUUGCAUGGUCAGCCCAAUUUAGCAAAAGCUUACGUCUCCCUCCAAAUCAUGAAGUUUUUGUUUGUUGCUGUUUGGGUUUUGCUGGUGUUAAGAGCAUAAUUAACAUGUCGAUGACUAGCUAAUCAUAUUUUAUUAAUUAACUUAAGUUUUACGAUUGAUUCUUCAUCAAUCAACGACUAAGAAUCAUUCAUUUACACGCAAAUGACUAACAUUAAUAGCGUGAAUGACUAACCCUAAAAUGUUUGUAAUCAUAGUAUUGAAUGUCUUUGUCAACAUGUUUUGAAAAUACCAACUACGUUGUCAAGCUUUCUUUCGGGAUUCAUUUUUCAAGAUGGUUUCUUCAAGCAAUAGUUUUCUCACAGGGGUAGACAAUGCACUUGAAAGUGAUUUUUAACUUGUUAACGUCUAAUUCGUCUACUUAUUUUCGUAUUAGUUAGCGUAUGAUUUAUUGAAUUUGUAAUACGCAUUUGAGAAGUAAUAUUCUUUUAUCAAAUUUACGUUGUCACAUAUAUUUAUAUUGUUAGAUUGUGAAUUCAAACUGCACUUUGAGAUAAAAUCGAUAUAAUCAACGGUCUGCCACAAUUGAAAGAUUAGUCCUAAAUGAUGAAGAUAGAACACCAAGAACAUUAUUUUUUAUGAAAGAAAAAUUCUAUUUUCUUGAUUUCUUUGUUAGAGAAUGGAACAAGUAAGAGUAAGGUCAAAUAUGAUAUGCAAGUUGGAAAGCUGAUGUGGUUGUAACUUGUACUUGUCAUUGAUAUUUUGGAAUUAGAUUCCGUAAAAUAUAAACAUCCAUGUUAAAGAUUCAUUGGUCAAGAAUAUACCAACCAUUAAAAUAUUUUGUUGGGAUCCAAUCAAUUGUUAAAUAUAAGUCCCUGAGAAAACCAAGUUGUGUGUUAGAAUGGGAAAGAAAGAUAACGUAGAAGUAGCGAUCAGUCCAAUUUAGAAUGGACCCUCUUACAUAUCUGGGUCAACAAUUGAACAUCGUCUAGAUAAGUUGGCUUCCAUUUUUUCUACAUUUUGUUGUAUAAGAAAUUGAUGGUGGACUCUAAACAAAACCCAAAACGGUCUUUUUCUGUUUAUAUUUUUUAUGAUAAUGAGAGGAAAAAUCAGCUAUAGAAAUUGCUAGUGGUCAAAGUCAUUGGAGAUCUGUUUGAUGAUUGAAAUAUAUAGUUCUGAUCUCUUGGACUAUAGGGGUCUAAGAGAUUUGUGAUCACUCAUUGUUGCAUGUAAAUUCAACGGUUCAUUCACUCUUGCACUCCUUUUAAAAAUUUUUUUUUGAACUAUUGGAUUAAUAUCCAACGGUGGGUGACCACAAUCUCUUGGACUUCUGUAGUCCAAGAAAUCGGGACUGUUGAAAUAUAAUACAAAUGUGUGACAAAAAAUAUAUAAACCAUGAGAUUCUGGAGCAUUAUGAAAUGUCGGAAACAACAAAUGAAAAAUUGAGAUUAUUAUGAACGAUAAUUUACAUUGUUUCCUUAUGCUAAAGAAAUGCAAGCAAUUGUAUCGCUAAUUCUAAAAAAUAAAUGCAAGGAAUAAGUGAUUAAAAACAAACAAAUUAAGGACUAUUGAACAUGAAAAAUCUGACGUUGCUUUGUCAUAAGCCCAGGUCCUCUUUUGUAAAACCAUUAAUGAGAUCAAAUCCCUCCAUCACUGGGCCUCUUUUGGAAACCCAUUAAACAUCCCAGGUCACAAGAAUUAUCCUGAAAAUUUCUCAAUAAAGCCAAGAAAUGCUUCAAUUCAGCCAUUUCGUUCAUAUUAAUUAAACCCUAAACCCCUAAACUUUAUAAGGAUAGUUUCGAAUUUCUAGUUUGCUCCAAUAUCUCAAACUUAUUAAGGUUUGUUUUGCGUUUCUAAUAAAUCUAC